GAUUACGGCUCAGUAACACGUGGGAACGGACCCCAAACUGAGGGAUAACUAGUCGAAAGAUUAGCUAAUACCGCAUAUGAUCUUCGGAUUAAAGCUUUCGAGCGGUUUGGGACUGGCCUGCGCACGAUUAGAUAGUUGGUAAGGUAACGGCCUACCAAGUCGACGAUCGUUAGAUGGUUUGAGAAGAUGAUCAUCCAGACUGGGACUGAGACACGGCCCAGACUCCUACGGGAGGCAGCAGUAGGGAAUCUUUCACAAUGGGCGAAAGCCUGAUGGAGCAACGCCGCGUGCAGGAUGACGGCCUUCGGGUUGUAAACUGCUUUUAUAACCGAGAAAUAUGAUGGUAAGUUAUGAAUAAGGACCGGCUAACUACGUGCCAGCAGCCGCGGUAAUAAU
RNAcentral lists this ribosomal RNA (396 nucleotides) under uncultured rumen bacterium. RNAcentral describes it as "bacterial SSU rRNA". It matches the Rfam family "Bacterial small subunit ribosomal RNA", at positions 98 to 526 of the family's 1533-position model. The record is from RNAcentral.